UACGUAGGGUGCGAGCGUUAAUCGGAAUUACUGGGCGUAAAGCGUGCGUAGGCGGUCCGCGAAGUCUGAUGUGAAAGCCCCGGGCUCAACCUGGGAACUGCAUUGGAAACUAACGGGCUCGAGUGUGGCAGAGGGGGGUGGAAUUCCACGUGUAGCAGUGAAAUGCGUAGAGAUGUGGAGGAACACCGAUGGCGAAGGCAGCCCCCUGGGCUAACACUGACGCUCAGGCACGAAAGCGUGGGGAGCGAACAGG
This 253-nucleotide ribosomal RNA is filed under the name uncultured bacterium. RNAcentral's name for it is "partial 16S ribosomal RNA". It matches the Rfam family "Bacterial small subunit ribosomal RNA", at positions 524 to 776 of the family's 1533-position model. The record is from RNAcentral.